This 414-nucleotide ribosomal RNA is filed under the name Acanthamoeba genotype T4. RNAcentral's name for it is "SSU rRNA". It matches the Rfam family "Eukaryotic small subunit ribosomal RNA", at positions 779 to 1095 of the family's 1831-position model. Lineage: Eukaryota; Discosea; Longamoebia; Acanthamoebidae. The record is from RNAcentral.
GGCAGAUCCAAUUCUCUGCCACCGAAUACAUUAGCAUGGGAUAAUGGAAUAGGACCCUGUCCUCCUAUUUUCAGUUGGUUUUGGCAGCGCGAGGACUAGGGUAAUGAUUAAUAGGGAUAGUUGGGGGCAUUAAUAUUUAAUUGUCAGAGGUGAAAUUCUUGGAUUUAUGAAAGAUUAACUUCUGCGAAAGCAUCUGCCAAGGAUGUUUUCAUUAAUCAAGAACGAAAGUUAGGGGAUCGAAGACGAUCAGAUACCGUCGUAGUCUUAACCAUAAACGAUGCCGACCAGCGAUUAGGAGACGUUGAAUACAAAACACCACCAUCGGUGCGGCUGUUCUUGGCGUCGGUUUCGGCCGGCGCGGGGAUGGCUUAGCCCGGUGGCACCGGUGAAUGACUCCCCUAGCAGCUUGUGAGA